GCUGCUCCCGGAACACCGCUCCCGGAGCGAUCGUUUCAAUGUUGCUUGCUCGGAAUGGCCCUCCUGAGCAAACAACAGACGGUGCUCAAAGUAACAACUGGACUUAAUAAAAGGAGCUUACACGAAGGAGUUGCUGAAGGCUGCUGUGGUCGUGUGCUGGGGGCUGCCCCAGCUCCAGCUGCAGGACCCCGGCCGUCCGCCUUCCGACUCCGGUGAUGAUUCUUCCUGCGGUCUGAUCAAGAUUCUACCCAGUUAACUUUGUAUCCAAGGAUCUAUAGCCGAGAAAUUUGGAGCUCAGUUUCAAACAAGAAAUCUUAAAAGUUUGAGAAGAAAAUAUGGUAAAUAACUAAGAGAAAUCUCUGGUCAAUACUCAACAAGUCCUUCAGUCCAACAAUAUUCCAUACAUGAAAUCCUGCCAAAAACCAGGGACCCAGCCUUCCUCCCGGCAGGAGGAUGCUGCAUCAAGGCAUCACCUUGAAAGCGAAGAGCAGCCUUCGCCACAUGCUGGCCCCUUGAUCUCGGACUUCCCAGCAUACAAAACUGUGAGAAAUAAAUUUCUUUUCUUUAUACAUUUCUCACUCUGUGUUAUUUGGUUAUAGUAGUGCAAAGUAAGGCAUCCAUCAUGUUAAUAGGAUGGAAAAGGUAGAGUAAUUGUUACAGGCAUUUUGGAAUUAUUUUUCUGGAGUAACCACUUGAACUACUGAGAGAAGAUUGACAGAAAGGCUACACCAAUGUUCCUUUUGUGUCAAUGAUCACAAGAGAUUGAUAUUCCAUUGAACACAUUAUUUUAUCCAAGAAGGUUAAAACUAAACCCAAAGGACUGCUAUUUUUGACUAAGGAGAAAUUCUUUCAGAAGGCAAUUGAUUCAAUGUAUAUGGCCCUCUGAGCAUAUGGCACUUCCAUAUAACCCCUUCCUCAGAAUAUUUUUACCUGAACUGGUUCUAUAUGAUUUUGUAUCUAUUUUCAUUGUUUGAAAUGAUGACUCCAUUCCGGGUGAAGUAUGGUAUAUCUAUUGUGUAGAAAGACAAGGAAGAAAAUAAUGUCUAUAGCUACUAAAGCAUUACUGAUAUUUCCUGAGAAUGCAAUACUUACAAAGGUUGAGAAAUUCACAGGUUAUAAACUACAUACACUUUUAUAGACCCAUUGAAGAAAAGCUCAAUUAAUUGUAAACCUUGUUGCAACAUUUCUUUGGGGGAAAUGGAUAGAUGAUGUUCAUUUUGCUAAACUCAUUCUGCUUAAAACAUUAUUUUGGGGAAAUAUCUGUGUUCUUGGUUUCACAAAUGUGAACUCAUUAGCCAAGUUCAGACAUAGACCCACACAUUUACCUUUAUGCAAUUUCUUUUUCCCCUAAUUAUGAGAUUUUCUCUUGCUCUAGUAAUUUUGACUGUGUGGAGAAAGUAUGCUGGAAAAUGAACUCUGAAUUGAAAGUACAGGAACCUGAUUUGAAGCAGUCAUACUAAUUCUCCUUUCUACCUCUCAUUUACUUUAUCCAGAUAUCAAAACUUUUAAAGUCAGCUUUUACAAAAUGAAUGGUACAGUCUAAAUUCUAUGUUCCAGAUCCCAGGGAUAUAGAAUAAUGUAAGGAGAGCAAGAGAAAGGGUCAAUAGUUUUGGUUUUCAGUUGGAAUAUGUAGAGGGAGAGAAUCAUUUCCAAAUGGUCUCAGUCUACAGGUCAAAACUGGAAAAUUUUUCAAGUCAUUUCCCACUCCAAAAUUCCAUGAAAUAUAUAUCUAUUGCAUUGAAGAAGAAGUUGAUCCCAGUUGAUCUUUGAGUUAAGCUUUUCUUGUAAAUGCUAUUUCUUAAAUAUGUUCUAAAUGCACUUUAUUUAUUUACUUACUUAUUAGAGAUAGGCUCUUGCUGUGCCGCCCAGGCUGGAAUGCAGCAGCAUAAUCAUAGCUCACUGCAGCCCGGAAGCUCUGGACUCAAGUGAUCCUCCCACCUCAGCCUCUUGAGUCACUGGGAUUACUGGUGUGAGCCACUGCACCAAGCCACCUCACAUUUUUGUGUUCAGAAUCUUACCAUAGAUGACUGGAGGCAGAGUAGUCCCCACAAUACAGACUACAUCGUCUUAGGUGGCUACUUAAACACUGGUUUGUUGUCUCCAAGAGACGAAGGUCAUUUAAAUUUGAAUAUCAAUUCUCAUGCCAUUUCAGAUUUUUAGAAUCCAUCAGAAAGCAAAUAAUUAUAUGCACAGACACUUAUGAGACAGUCAAUCUUAUUCAUUGUCCCCUCACAAAAAUAUAGCCCAUAAUAAACAGACAAUUUUGUUUAUUUCCUCAGCCUGGUUUGCACAAGUCUUAGAGUCCUUUAAGCAAUCUUGAUCCAUAUAAUCACUGUGUGACUGCUAUUCUCAGGAACACUCCUGAAAUUCUGGUUUUCAUCCAGCACAAACAUCCAGUAAAAGCUUAGUGGAAAGUUCAUAUAUCAACUAUGAUCUGUAAAAUUUUCCUGGUACAAAAUACAGCAGGUAUGGAGGUGUGUUCUCAGAACUCUCUUCAAGAGAGCCUACUUUGAGUAGCAUAGUUGAAUGACAGCUUCCAUGUAUGGCCACUUUGAUCAUUCACUUCAAGGCCUCACAUCCUCCUGGCUGCUCCCAGCUAAUGACUGAGUAUAGCAGGCUGCUAGUGCUGCCCCAUUUGUUUCUGAAGUGGAAACAUUUGUAACUUUGACUCAAAGACUCCAAAUUAGACUUGUGGAGCCUUUCUCAGAACUUUAUUGCAAUCGGAGGCUCCUCUUACCCAAUCUUACUUUCUUCCUCUCUCGUUUCUCUGGUGUGAGAACAGCAUGGCAGUCCAAAGGCUCUACCUUCUAACUCUUUCUCCUUCUCCCGUUGUCAUUCGCAGGAGUUGUCUAAAUCUCGAUCACUAUUUACUGUUAUUAUUUGGUGAUAAAUCUCUUUUAAUAAAUCUCUCGCACACUUAAUAUGUCUUGGCAUCUACAUCUCAGAGGGCCCAAGCCAACACAGAAAGUGAGCAUUGAGAGCUUUUAUUCUAUUCAGGAGAAUUUCUUCAGUUCGACAAUAUUACAUGACUAGUUGUAAAUAUAAAAUACUCAAAAAAUACGUGGUCUGAAGUUCAAGUGUCUUUCCUCAAGGAAAGCAUUAAGAGUAAAGACAUUCAUUUAUUCCCUCAUGUAUUAAUCCAUUCAUUCAAUCAAUAAAAUGGUCAUUAAAACAGACAUGGCUCACACACAGCAGACGAAGUGCUGUACCAGAAUAAGAUGGUCUUAGUCAUCAUAAAGCUUACAGUCUAAUGUAGCAAGUCUUAAAUAUUUUUUAUUGUUGUUUAGGGGCCUCUUGGGGUUUGAUAAACGCUAUGGACAUGGUCCCCAGAAAAUUCAUAUGCACAUAUGCAUAUAAGAACAUUCUGAAGCUGGGCACAGUGGCUCAUGCUUAUAAUCCCAGCACUUUGGGAGGCUGAGGCAGGAGGAUCACUUGAAGCCAGGAGUUCAAUACCAGCCUGGGCAACAAAGCAAGAGCACAUUUGUACAAAUCGUGUUUUAAAAAACAAGCCUGGUAUAGCAGUGUGCACCUGUAGUCCCAGCUACUUAGGAGGCUGAUGAGAGAGGAUCACUUGAGCCAAGGACGUUGAUGCUGCAGCGAGCUAUGAUCGUGGGAGUGCACUCCAGCCUGGGUGACACAGCGAGAUCCUGUCUCAAGAAAAGAACAUUCUGUGUAAAUACUGGAGAUUUCAUGAACAUAAUUCUAACAGCUUGAGUUCCUCCUUUGUCCUGGCUCAUGUGGCAAUCUGGCUGUAGUAACUGCAAUCCUGCCAUGUUCUUCCGUACCCAGGUUCCUACUUUCGGCACCUUUACUAUAAUCCAGAUUCUCUCAAUCGAGCAUAGUCUUUUCUUCCUUCCUAUAGAGACUGGAAAACAAUCUCUGGAAUAGAGUCUGGCUUCUCCAGAAUUGUUAGUUUGCUUUCUGGGAUUUCUCUUCAUGACCGAAAGGCAUCAUUUUUCAACUGUGUAAUUCCAGCAGCCUCCUAGCCCUUCUCUCCAAUAUCUCCUUAUUCUGUUCUGUCAUAUUCUAAAACCAGAUUCUCUUAAUAUUCAUGAAGCACAGAUUUGCAGAUGACCCUUCUGUUGUCAAUCAGAUUCUCCUGUCCUCUUGCCCAUGGAAGAAGGCACAUUGAACUCAAUCAUUAUAAACAUCCUCUACAUAAACUCCAUGUUCCAGAGAAAGUCUAGUCUUUGCUUGUCAUUGAAGACAAUGCUCAUUUUCCUGCCUCAGUGGUUUCUGUCAACUAAAAUGCUUUCUAUCCCCUUUUCUGAUUAUCUCUGUCCAGGUGUUAAGGCCUGAAUAAAAUGCCCACUCUUCCAUGGUAUACAAGCAAGGGAAGUAAUAUGAGUUGAAAUAAAAGUGGUUAAGAGGGAAUGGAAAGUAAAGAAUUCGUGUAAGACCUAUUUUAAAGGUAGAAGUAAAGGUACUUAGUUUCUGAUUUUAAAUAUGAGGAUAAUAUUAAAUAUUAAUAAAAACUACCAAUUUGUAGCACUUACCCUGUAUCUACCUCUACAAAUUGUGUUCUACAUGAAUUAGUUAUUUUAUAUAAAUAUCCUGGACAGGAAGUUGCUAUUAUUAUCCUAGUAUAUAGAUGAGAAAAUAGAUCCUUACAGAUGUUAGUAAACUAUUUAAGGUUUCACAGCUUCCAGAGUAAAGUUGACAUUUUAAUUCAGGUAUGUCUAACCUAUAUUAUGGUCUUAACCGUGAAGACAUGACUUGGAGGCUUGUAGCCUGAGGGAACUGGUAAAAAAUUGUGAGAGAAAUAAGCAAAACAAUUCUUCUUUUUAAAACAUUUAACUUUGAAACAUUUAAAUAAUAUGUAGAAGGAGACAUUCACCAGAUAAUUGCAAUCAGAGAAACGGAAUUUGGGAAAGGAAUAAUUAAUACAGGUAUUGAUGGAGAUUCCAAAAACAAUUGAAACAAAAACAAAAAUUGACAAAUGGGACGUAAUUAUGGACCUUCUGCAUAGAAAAAAUCAACUAUCAACAGAGUAAACAGGCAACCUACAGAAUGGGAGAAAAUAUUUGCAAAAUAUGUAUCUAACUAAGGUCUAACAGCCAGAAUCUACAAGGGACAUAAACAAAUAAGCAAGC
Pan troglodytes (chimpanzee) is the source of this 5093-nucleotide long non-coding RNA. RefSeq lists it as uncharacterized. Lineage: Eukaryota; Metazoa; Chordata; Mammalia; Primates; Hominidae. The record is from RefSeq and is a predicted model, not a curated record. The transcript has 4 exons.